UACCCGCUGAAUUUAAGCAUAUCAUUAUGCGGAGGAAAAGAAAUCAAACGAGAUUCCUCGAGUAACGGCGAGUGAAAGGGGAGAAGCUCAGCGUGUAGCCUCGGGGAUGCCCUCCAUGUGAGUGUGUUAAUCCUACGAUGGGAUGCCACGUAUGGGAGAAUACUAGAAGAGUCGCGGCCCGGCAAUCCGAACUGUAAGAUGAAACAUUGCCCAAAGAGGGUGUUAGGCCCGUAGGACCGUUGUUGUCGUGACUUUUCGCGGUAUUCUCUCGAGAGUCGGGUUGYUUGAGAAUACAGCCUUAAGAGGUGGGAAACUCCAUCUAAAGCUAAAUAUUACUGCGAGACCGAUAGCGAACAAGUACCGUGAGGGAAAGUUGAAAAGGACUCUGAAGAGAGGGUUAAAGAGAGCGUGAAACUGCUACGGGGAUAAAGCGGAUACAUUAGCGUAGUCGAAAGGGGAGAUACACCUCGUUGAACGCUACCCGCCGACGUUAGGUUCGUAGGGGAUUAUCCCGAUUCGAGUUGGUUCGCGCCGACUUAUCGGUUCUUGGUUCCUCUCGUAACUUGACCCGGCGUGAGUACGCGCUUUAAAGGACGAGUCUAAUUCACACCCUAGUAGGCCGUCGCGACGGUUGGAAAGUUGUCUAAGGCGAGCGAAGGUCGUGGGAACCUUUCGUGGGCGAUUGACGGAGUUAACGCUUCGUUUUUCGUCGACGAUGGGGGACGCUUUCUCGAAUUUACUGACGGACUUUCCGACCGGAGAAAUAGACGUCGCGUUCUUCCCUUAACGGGGUCGAAGUGGACGUAAGUGCGGCGCUCGUAGCGACCAAUUUAUCCGUCCCGUCUUGAAACACGGACCAAGGAGUCUAACAUGUACGCGAGUCAAAGGGUCUACUAAACCCCUAGGCGUAAUGAAAGUAAAAUACGAAGGAUUGAUCCGUUGCUCUCCGAGUGAGACCGGCGCAAAUCCGGGACCCGUCUACUGCUUUCGUUUACGAAAGUUUCAAUGUGGCGGGUACCUUGAGCGAACACGUUGGUACCCGAAAGAUGGUGAUCUAUGCUUGGCCGGGAUGAAGCCAGAGGAAACUCUGGUGGAGGUCCGUAGCGAUUCUGACGUGCAAAUCGUUCGU
This 1129-nucleotide ribosomal RNA is filed under the name Dubinectes acutitelson. Its description in RNAcentral is "eukaryotic LSU rRNA". It matches the Rfam family "Eukaryotic large subunit ribosomal RNA", at positions 22 to 905 of the family's 3401-position model. Lineage: Eukaryota; Metazoa; Arthropoda; Malacostraca; Isopoda; Munnopsidae. The record is from RNAcentral.